Molecule: long non-coding RNA, 3618 nt
Organism: Chelonia mydas (Green sea turtle)
Lineage: Eukaryota; Metazoa; Chordata; Testudines; Cheloniidae
Exons: 2
Source: RefSeq, a predicted model, not a curated record
GGCUGCUAGCCCAAGCCACCACCCGUAGUACUCCCAGCUACACUGCUAUUUUUAGCACGCUAUCUUGAGCAGAGCUAGUGCAUCUGUCUACCCACUCCACCCAAGUACACUCCCAGGUGCAAUGUAGACAUAUACUGGUGGAUAGUGCAGACAGUGGUAAAAAGGACUAAAGGGAACAUUGAAUAGAAGCUAGUAUUUGGCACUGGUGAGACCACUAAUACAAUGCAGUGUCCAUUUUAAAGUGUGGAUACCAAAAAAAAAGCAUACUGAAAAUCUGGAGAAAAUUCACAGACAAGCUACAAGAACAAGUAGAGUUCUAGAAAACAAGAUCUGGUGGUCACUUUAUUUAAUCUUAACAAAAAGAAUGGUAAGAGGAAUUUGAUCAUGGUCGGAAUUACCCACACAGGUUGAUGUUAAGAUUGUUCAGUUUAGCAGACAGACUCAAAGGCUGUAGGAAAAAUUCAAAACUGGAAAUCAGAGGCAAAAUUUUCCCUAGUGGAAGCUAAUCAACCAUUGAAAGAUAUUAUCAAGGGAUGUUGUAACAUUCUUCCUCACUAUUUUGAUUAAAAUGCCAAGUACUAGGUCUUUCUAAAAGAUAUGCUGUAGUUCAACCACAAGUUAUAAACCUGUUGCAGGAAUCACUGUGUGAAAUUCUAUGUCCUGUGUUAUGCAGAAGGUCAGACUAAACUGUUAUAAUAAUCCCCUUUUCCUCAAAAAAAAAAAAAACAUUAUGAAUCUAAAAAAAUCCUAUAGAGUCAUCUUACUUACGGAGCUUGCCAGGGAAUAUAUUGCCCAGGAAUUAAGUUUUUCUAACCCGACAGGCUCCCUAUGAGGAGACAAACAGCUGCAAUAGUAUGGGUCAAAGAUGGCAGCGUAAAAAGGCUCACUAAAUACACAAAUAUGUGAAUGAGAGAGUUUAAAAGCUUAUAGUGGACUUUAGAAACCUCUGCCCCCAGCACUUGCUUUCAGGGAGUAAGCUGCCACCACUUGUCUGAUCGCCAGAUUUCACAUCUGUUUGAGCCAGGUCCUCCACUCCCUCUCCCAGAUGCAGAAAGGUUAGUAGAGUAAGUGCGUUGCACUCUGCAGAAGCUGUCAAAAAGCUCCUGCAGGUAGUUCAGAGCACAGAGAAAUCCUCAUCCGGGAAAGCAUUUUCAGACUGAGCAUGGAAAGAACUUGGAUGCUACAAGGAUGAGCACUACAGAAAGCCAUAAAGUAGCCUCGUCUCAAGUGGGAGGAAACCUAUUAGUUUGAUCCACGUUGCUUUGAUUGAACUGUUGUCAUUGUUGAGAGGGAGUUGGUGCACAAAAUUAAUCAUGGCAAUUUCAAUUCCAAGAGCUAUAAAGAGAGGCUGUAAAUCAGGUCAAACAAUACCAGGAGAAAACAAAUGGCAAGUGAAAAAAACCCAGUGAGGAACAGAAUAUGCCAAAGUAGGCCUCAAAGACUGAGAUGAUAAACCCUGGAGGAAAUACAAGUAGAAAGAGUUAAUUAUGGACCCCAAACAGAGAUAAUAAAGUGAGAAAAUUAAUAGCAAGAUUCUGCUAUAGAAAGUUGAAAUACAAAGCUUUUUGAUAAAAAACCAAAGCACUGGACAAUCAAAGUUAUCCAGACAAAGCGAAGCUAUGUCUAUGCUGUGCUGCAGUGAAAAUGACCCCGGGGGUGGGGGAGAGAGGGAUGGAGGAAGAAGGGGUGAAUUGCAGAGCGCACCAAAAUGUUGCACACUAUCUGCCCUGGGUAGACACUGCUGGUGUUAACUAAAAGGUACCUACAGUAUGCGUUAACGUGGUCCUCUUUCAAAAAGGACUACAUUCAUGCGACCUAAAUACCUUUUCAUUCGCACCAGCAGUGUCCACACAGGGCAUUUAGUGCAUGACAUUUAGGUGCAUUCUACAGUUCACCUCCCAGUCAUCUGCACUGCGGCACACUACAGGCAAGACCUGGGAUACAAUACUGCAUGAAAUAUUAUACUGCAUCAGAAGGAGACUGGAAAAAAAGUAAAUUUUAUCUAGUACUCCAACUUAGGUUUAUGAUUAAAGAACGUGAUUAAAGAUGUGCAGAUGCCACUUCAACUUCACGAAGAUCAGACAUCAGCCUGGUAAUUCAAGCUACAGAAAAGACACAGUGUUAGAAAAUAAGGAUAUUUAUUUCAGCAGAGAAUGUUUUAGAAGAACAUAGUAAGUGCUGGGUGAAAAUGAAAUGGAUAAGACAGUGGAAUGAAAAGAAUACAGAAGGGAAAUACAAAUUGUUCAGUGAUAACAUAAGCUAAAAAGUUACACAUGCCAUCCACCAAUAAAGAAACCAGUUAUUAAAUAUUGAAAUCCAGUGUAGAUAAACUCUCUGAAAAUAAGCAAAUGGGAACAGAAGGCUACAUCAGGGAAAAAUUGUAGAAUAUAACGUCAAAAUGACAAACUCGCUAAGAAAUAAAACAAAAAUUACACUAGAGGGCGCUGGCAAUACAAACUGCAGGACAACAAUGAGAGUUCAGAAUUACUUGUUUAAACCAAGACAGUAGGCAAUUCAAGUAGGAAAUUAAAUGGGAAAAUAACCGAGUACAAGUUAAACAGAUAGGAAAUAUACUAUCAACUAUAGAUGUAUGCUAUAAAUAAUGUACUGUACACUUGUCAGAAGUAGUGUCGGUACUAUUUAAAGGGAGAAUGCAUUUGUAUUGUGGUGUGCCAUUGUGGUCACAUUUUCAUGAAGAGGAAGUGAUAAGGGAUCAUGUGACACAGACCUAGAUAGCUGCUUCAUUCACACUGAGCUCUGGCUCCAUUCCUUACUGCUCUGAUAAAACCACUACCUAGAACAGCUUAUUGAAGUAAAAUAAGAUUUUUCAAUGCCAUAAAAUGUAUCUUUUUUAAAAAAGGAUUGAGACUUUGAUCAGUACAAAACAGAAGCUGCAGCAGCAGCCUCCUAGCACUGAUAAUAAACACAAUGGUGCCAGCAACAGCAUAUCCUCAAAUACCAUCAUGAAAGAACAAGAAAGCUUGACAGCUGGAAUUGUGGAAGAAAUUGCACAGAACCAUACCAUACACAGUAAUGGGGAAAAGAGGUUUAAGAAUUUCUCAUCCACUCUGCAUUCUGUCCCGGUGGAGAUGUCCCCUAAAUGGAAAGUUCUGAUGGAGAAUCGCAGUGAUAGACCAAUGAGUAUUAUUAACAGAGGAGACUCAGCAGAAACACAAAGACAGAUUCUGGGAUAAAGAGAAAAAAAACUGCAGCUGCUUGAGAAACAAGCAGAAGAUAGCAAGUACAGGUUACAGGAAAAAAUUAUUUGAACUGAGCGACUCUCUGCAUUCAGAGAGUUACUAUGAGCUAUUUUGGUACAGUUCCACAACUAUAAAGACAGACACACUCUUUUGGAGCACAUACACUUCGGAGCACUUUGGACCUUUCAUUGUGUGUUCAGUGCCUAGCACAAUGGGGCUCCAACUCCUGGUGGCGGUCUCCUGUCACUAUCACAAUAUAAAUAAUAAAAUAAUAAGAAACUGCUGCAAUUAAAGAGGAUUAAUCAGCAUAAUGGCAAGAACAUCAGUUUUAGCAUUAGAGAAAUCACACAUCUUUUAGCCCAAUGAGCAAGUUCCGCAAGAAACAUGGUCACAGAUCUAACACCAUCUAUUCAGCUGU